GACGAACGCUGGCGGCGUGCUUAACACAUGCAAGUCGAACGGAAAGGCCCUGCUUUUGUGGGGUGCCGGGGUGGCGAUGGGGUGCGUAACAGGAGAGUAACCUGCCCUUGACUUUGGGGUAACUUAAGGAAACUGGGGCUAAUAUCGGACAGGAGACCCCGCUGCGGGGUGGGGGUUGGAAAGUUUCGGCGGUUGGGGAUGGACUGGCGGCUUACCGGUUUGUUGGUGGGGUAGUGGCUUACCAAGGCUUUGACGGGUAGCCCGCAUGGGAGGGUGACCGGGCACAUUGGGACUGAGGUACGGACCAGACUCCUACGUUGGGCAGCAGUGGGGAAUAUUGCACAAUGGGCGGAAGCCUGAUGCAGCAACGCCGCGUGCGGGAUGACGGCCUUCGGGUUGUAAACCGCUUUCGCCUGUGACGAAGCGUGAGUGACGGUAAUGGGUAAAUAAGCACCGGCUAACUACGUG
RNAcentral lists this ribosomal RNA (468 nucleotides) under uncultured bacterium. RNAcentral describes it as "partial 16S ribosomal RNA". It matches the Rfam family "Bacterial small subunit ribosomal RNA", at positions 28 to 507 of the family's 1533-position model. The record is from RNAcentral.